AGCAGAGUGGCGCAGCGGAAGCGUGCUGGGCCCAUAACCCAGAGGUUGAUUUAUCGAAACCAUUCUCUGCUA
This is a transfer RNA of Astyanax mexicanus (Mexican tetra), 72 nucleotides long. It matches the Rfam family "tRNA". Rfam says of the family: Transfer RNA (tRNA) molecules are approximately 80 nucleotides in length. Their secondary structure includes four short double-helical elements and three loops (D, anti-codon, and T loops). The record is from Rfam. Lineage: Eukaryota; Metazoa; Chordata; Actinopteri; Characiformes; Acestrorhamphidae.